Molecule: long non-coding RNA, 1150 nt
Organism: Capsicum annuum
Lineage: Eukaryota; Viridiplantae; Streptophyta; Magnoliopsida; Solanales; Solanaceae
Exons: 2
Source: RefSeq, a predicted model, not a curated record
AUUGUUCUAUUGUCCAAUACCCGCCGUAGAAAGAGCAAAACCCUAAAACCUCAAAAACCCUAGUACUACUUCUUUUCCGCCCAACCCUUUAUAAAUUCAACCUAUUCCUCAUCUCAACAUACAUCGCAGCCAAGGCACCCCUGCCCGCCAUCUCUUACUUUUUUUAAAAAAUAAAAAUUCAAUCAAUCCCCAGUGUUUUUCAUUGUAGGGUAUUUUUAAUGUCAAAUCUUUUCAAUUGUGGGUGUUUCUUUUUGUUUUUUUUUGGUAAAUGAAGCAAGAUUGAGUUUUUUUCAUUGUGGGGUUGAUCUGUGAUGAUGAAUUGAUAAGGCUUGUUUCUCAAAACAUUCGCAGUGGCCGCCUAAGUGCUUUCGCCUUCGCCAGGCUUGAGAGUAUAUGCUGCUUCUAUCCUUCCUUGGAUGUCUGAGAUCCCACCAUAUCUUCCCCUUUUUUUCUUCUUUAACUUAUUUUUCUUGGACCUUUAAUUUGCUUAUUCAUUUUUGGUUAAUUCUUCUGUUAUAAUCUUAAUUAUAUGGUGUCUAUUGGAAACAGCCUUCAUGUACUAACACAAGUUUUGGGUAUGGUCUGCGCACUCAUAAUCCUCCCAAGAACCCCCUCUUUGGAUUAUAUUUGGUAUGAUGUAAAUAUAUGGUGUCUAUGAUGAUAAAUUUUAAGGCUUGUUUCUCAAACAUUCGCAGUGGCCGCAUAAGAACUUUCGCCUUCGCCAGGUGACAAGCCGGAGAUAUCUGGAAUUGUGUUGCUCAAUUGAUGAUCAAAGAAGAAUAUUGUAAAACUUAUUGUGAGGGCUAUGAUUAAAAAGAGAGAGGAUAGAGUGAAGAAUUUCUCAUCUUUGCAUGGGUUCGGUAGAUGAAGAUGCAUAGUAACGUGUUUCUGCUAUUGUUGCCCGUUUCUUUCAAAGUAGUUGGUGGCUUUAAUUAUUAACCUUAUUGUGCAUCUUUGUUCUAUUCAUUUGAUCCCAUUCAACAUGAGUUUUCUUCACAAUGAACCUUCUAUAAAUACACUUGAUAUGAGCCCCUUCACUUCCAUGAAACAAGCACAAUUAUAACCAAGCUGUAUUUGAUAAAUUUUUAUGCAUUGUUGGUUACAAUAUAAUUCGAGUCAAUUUAUUUAGUUUAGUAAUGAUUUUAACCAA